CCAGACAGGGCUGGAGGAGCAAUUGGAGGAGCCCAGCAGGCUGGACACAUGUGGAGAGUUGAUAUGGAAACUGAGCCCUCACACAUGGACUGAAUUCUGACAAGCAGAGGAUAAAGGCAGAACAACAUGACUGAAGGGAAGAUGCUUUUGUGAUAUAUCCCAGCAUGCUGAUGACCCCAAGGAGGACCACUGGAUACCUAGCAAGGAGCUGGCUGCAGCAUACCAUGAAUCCUCACAGCAACUUAAUGAGAUACUGGCCUCAGAACUGGGAGUAGCUUCUUGUUUGGACCAAUCCUUUGCCUCCUUCCAGUGUGCUCAUUGAGAUAUUGGAAACCAUGUCUAGAUUCUCAGCCUGAUUAGACCUCUAUUUUGAUACAUUCAUUCAACAUAUUUAUCAACUGCUUGCUAUGUGAAAAAUGCUAUCCUAAGUACUAGUCAUGGUCUGAUUGGACUCUGCAACUGAUAACUCAAGCGCUAUUGUGUAAGGAUACCAGAUUUAGAUGAGACUGUCAGCAGCCCUCUGGGUCCUCACUGCUCGCAGUGUCCACAGGCAGCAGCAGCAGAAUCUGGGAGUUUAUUAGAUAUGUAGGAUGGCAGAUCCACUGCAGGCCUCCUGAGUCAGAAUCUGUCCUUUAAGAAGAUCCCCAGGUAGUGCAUAUGUGCACUGAGGUUUGGGAAGCACCAGUCUAGUCCAUUCUCUCUGUCACUAGAAUAAACUGUCCUGGCCUUUUUCCUAAGCAGAUUUCUUUUCAGAUUGUUCCAAAAGAUAAUAUGGAAAAAAAAUCUCCCUUGACUCCAAUGAUUAUAUUGAUGGGUAUACAUUGAUUUUUAUUGCCAAGUUUCUAUUUUAUGGGAAAACUAUUCUCCAAAAAAAUCAAAACAAGAGACUCAAGGUUGUCUCACUCAGAGGCACUUAAAAAAUAAAUAAAUAACCUGGCCACCAGGCUUUCCACAAGGAAAAGGAACAAUUAAGCAUUAUACCAGAGGUCUGGUAUAAUGGUUUCUAUUUCAUACAAAACUAAAGGUAGUUUUUGUCUCUCGUUCUCUGUUUCUGCUCAAAUAUCCAUCCUGCUCUCUCUCUCUCUCUCUCUCUGCCCUCUCUCUCUCCUUGUCUUUGUGUGUGUAUGUGUGCAUGCAAAGAUGUGUGUUUGUACAACCAAAAACCUUGGAAAUUUGUGGUGUUUUUACUCCAGCAUCCUGACUUUAUUUAAAUCAAGAUGUAAAUAAAACUCUUUUGUUUUGAAGACCAAUAGGAAUUAAAUCCAAGAAGGAAGGCUUUGUAAAAUAUGGUGCAGGUCAACCACAAACAUUUCAAAGGGCACCACCAUUGAGACAACAUGGAAGUGGAGGAAACAAUUGAACAACAUUAGAGUCAAGUGAGAGUUGACUGUGAAGGGCAUGGGGAGUUUCACAGUGACUCCUGGGUUUUGAGCUUUUGUGAAGAUAACAAAAGAUGCCUCUUGAUUUUAAUUUUUCUAAUCAGCCUUCCCAAAUUUAUUAUGGAAAAUUACUUUAAG
RNAcentral lists this long non-coding RNA (1517 nucleotides) under Homo sapiens (human). Its description in RNAcentral is "HSALNT0353070". Lineage: Eukaryota; Metazoa; Chordata; Mammalia; Primates; Hominidae. The record is from RNAcentral.